This 247-nucleotide ribosomal RNA is filed under the name uncultured bacterium. RNAcentral describes it as "partial 16S ribosomal RNA". It matches the Rfam family "Bacterial small subunit ribosomal RNA", at positions 524 to 770 of the family's 1533-position model. The record is from RNAcentral.
UACGAAGGGGGCUAGCGUUGUUCGGAAUCACUGGGCGUAAAGGGCGCGUAGGCGGCCGAUCAAGUCGGGGGUGAAAGCCUGUGGCUUAACCACAGAAUGGCCUUCGAUACUGUUUGGCUUGAGACCGGAAGAGGUUAGUGGAACUGCGAGUGUAGAGGUGAAAUUCGUAGAUAUUCGCAAGAACACCAGUGGCGAAGGCGGCUGACUGGUCCGGUUCUGACGCUGAGGCGCGAAAGCGUGGGGAGCA